RNAcentral lists this ribosomal RNA (468 nucleotides) under uncultured bacterium. RNAcentral's name for it is "partial 16S ribosomal RNA". It matches the Rfam family "Bacterial small subunit ribosomal RNA", at positions 28 to 507 of the family's 1533-position model. The record is from RNAcentral.
GACGAACGCUGGCGGCGUGCUUAACACAUGCAAGUCGAACGGAAAGGCCCUGCUUUUGUGGGGUGCUCGAGUGGCGAACGGGUGAGUAACACGUGAGUAACCUGCCCUUGACUUUGGGAUAACUUCAGGAAACUGGGGCUAAUACCGGAUAGGAGCUCCUGCUGCAUGGUGGGGGUUGGAAAGUUUCGGCGGUUGGGGAUGGACUCGCGGCUUAUCAGCUUGUUGGUGGGGUAGUGGCUUACCAAGGCUUUGACGGGUAGCCGGCCUGAGAGGGUGACCGGCCACAUUGGGACUGAGAUACGGCCCAGACUCCUACGGGAGGCAGCAGUGGGGAAUAUUGCACAAUGGGCGGAGGCCUGAUGCAGCAACGCCGCGUGCGGGAUGACGGCCUUCGGGUUGUAAACCGCUUUCGCCUGUGACGAAGCGUGAGUGACGGUAAUGGGUAAAGAAGCACCGGCUAACUACGCG